GCCACAGGAGGGAGAAAAACAAACAGGAAAGAAUUAAAAGGGUUGGGAUAGGGCUGCAAAGCAACAGGCAUAAAUCACGCAGCUCUUCCCUCCCUGAGCUCCCUUGCAGCCAGCACAUGCACAACACCUCCCUUCUGGAUGAGGCUUUGGCAUGAGAGGCAGAUCCCAUGAAUGCUCCAUCGCGUUACCACAGCAGAGCAGCGCUUGGCAAGCUGAUGCAGGAUACUCCCUCAAGAAAACUUUGAAGGAACAGUGCUGCACGGCUGAACUAGGCAAUUACAAAUAUACCAGACACAGGGCUGAGACCCACCUCACUUCUGUUCUGCUGGAGUUCAUAGAAUCACCAAGGUUGGGAAAGGCCCACAGGAUCACCCAGUCCAACCAUCACCAACAGUUCUCAAGAGUUGCAGCACAGUGAAUCACUCCAACCUUCCCUCAAGGAGGGACAGCACAAUAGGAUCAGCCUCUUCUGCACUGCUCUGAAAUCACAAUUCAGAAAAUGGACAAAGUGGAUAAUAAAUUACUCUUCUUAUGCCAGGAGUUGGAAAACAUCACUUAGUAGAACUGGGAGGAGGUGUUACAUUCUUAAGCCACAUGUUACACAAGAUAUGUCUGCAAGCAAACCGACAACAGAAGGACUGCUCUUUAUUGUACAAUGCCAUGUUCACUCCUGGCUUUUUCCAACACAGGACCCCUCUACAGGGCAUAACGCAAUGAUUAUGACAAAGGCACUUAAUCAACAUUAGCAGCUGCUCAAUUUCUAACUCUUGUUUUCCCACAAACUCCAUCUCCAGGAAAAUACAGAGUGCAACUCAAGGAAGCUCUCAGCUGUCCUCCACUUCGUGCAUUUCCAAAGCAGAUGUAAAACAACUUCUGGUCUCUCUUAUGUUCCUAUCUUGUUGAUCUGUGAUUUAUGACUGUAAGACCUUGGAACUUUGAACUGUUCAAUUCAAAUGCAUUCUUUUUUCGUUGUAGGAGUUUUAAGUAAUAUCUGAAGCUCUUAAUUUGUGGAUUAGCACAUUUACCUACACCACAAUUAGUCCAACUCUGAGAAAGCCCAAGACUAACUUUUGGUUCAUUACUCUGUCAAUCAAUAAGCAUCACAUGUGCUACCAGCCAUUCACCUAUAGGAAUGCUCCAGUUUGUUUCUACAUUCCCAGUCACCACUGAUUCAUCUGUCCAAGUCAUAUAACUGUUUUCUUUCUUGGUCAGUAAACUAGAUCAAAGCCUUGAUAUUUUUUAAGAAAAAUCUUGUAUUAAAGAGCAUGUGAGACCCUGAGAAGGUGGAGGCAAACACAUUUGCCACACCAGCGCUCAUCUCAGCUGACAACAGCAGCUUCCUGUGCUCUGUCCUGGGGGGAUAAGGGGCUGUUAAAUCCUCACAUCUGCCACCCCAGUGCACAGCUGUGAGUGGCUCAGGGAGAACCAUCCCUGCUUGCCCAGCUGCCCCCUUCUACUCACUGUCACUCAGCAAGUAACUAUUUCACAGGCCUCACAGAAAACAAUGGGAGCUUUCAGGAAUGAAAUAAAAUCUUUACUCUGAUAGGAAGGCAGCUGUGAGACACAUGAAAGCUUCUGCUUGCUGUCUCUUACUUGUCUCACAAGGUUCAGAUCGAAGGAGUCACAGCAAACCAUCUACAGUGAAACCCUUCACAAAGGUCAGUGCUGGAAAGAGUCUGAACAUGUGGUACCCUGCAGAAAGAUGUGUGGAUAGACAGAUAAACAGCUCACUGACAAGGUAGAUGGAUGCAGAAUGAGGAGGAGCAUACAUGGAAACAGAAUAUAAAAGGAAAAAAGUGAUCAAGAAAGCAAAUUGAUUUUCACUGUUUGUUUUGACAUCCCCAAAGAGGACCCCGUGAUCCUGAGGAAAUCCUGAGGAAUCAUUGCUCUCACUGCUGAUAUUCAGCCACCUUUGGGGCAGAAGGCUGCAGCCUUUAACAGCACUCACUUAUCCUAUAAACCAGUUUAUCACAAACUCACCUCAUAUUAAGGUGCUUUAUAACCCUGGGGGAAAAGUAUCACCUGUUAAAGAGCAAUUACCUCUGCAUUUCCCUUUAGGGCUAUUUUCUCAUCUAAGAACUGAUGAGGUCCAACGCUACUUCAGCUUGCUAAUUAUUCUAACUUCAGGACGUUAGUGCUGCUGAUUAGGAAGUGCGCUGCACCCAGAACAUAGAUGAAUUUAUUUCCUACGGGUAUGCAAUGCUGCACACUUGCAGUGUACUCAUACAGCACUGAGAAGUUAGGAAAAUUAACCCAUGUGGUAAUGUGCCCAGAUGCCUUCCAAUAGCUAGGAGGUCAUAUUUAAACGUUUAUUCCACCCGAUGACAAAUCUGAAUUCACAUCCUUAUACUGUCCUUCUGUCUCCUACCACCUCACUUCCCAGCUCCUGUACUCUCCCUGAGGCACUUCUCUAUCUUUUCCCCUCCUUCCUCUCUUGCUCACACUGGACUAUAAAUAAGUCUGCUUAACACAAACAUGCUUGCUCUGAGUAGUUACUUAUAUGAAAAAUAAUACAUGUUUGUAAGCUUCUUUGUCUUUCCCUUCUUCUACAUUUCAGUUUUGAUUUUCUCUUAUGUUUUGAACAGAUUCCUAUUUUCUACGCUUGAAUAACACUCCUGAAAAUGCUUCUUGUUGGUGUAAAUUUGACCUGUGCUGGUACAGCACGAAUCCUUGCAUUUCCCCUGGUGUUACAUUGCAGGUAGGGAAUAAGGUUUUACUGCUGAUAAUACAGAGGAGUUCUUUAUCUUACAAGGUAAGGAUUCAGGCUUUCAGCUCGGAAGCUCAAGAGCUCAAUGCCAUUGAUGACCCAGGGGAGGAGCUGUGAUACAGGAUCCCAUCACUGAUUUCCACGCUGCCAUCUCAUCAUCAAGUAGUCGAAACCCUUAACCCAUGUGAGCACUUCACCAUGCUAGAGAACUCAGCUCCUCACAGAACAGAAAACAAUGACCACUUGUUAAGCAUUUGUUUGAAAGAGGAAGAAAAAGAGUAUUACAAUGAGUGAUUUCAAUCUCUGUGCUGUCAGCUGAAGGUUCCAUGCUGCCAGAAACAAACAAAUGUAUUCCCUGUUUACAAAUGAUACCAAACAUUUUUAACCUCAAAGACUUUUGUAUCUUAUGUUGGGGAUUUUUUGGCGAGUGAAAAGAAAUAACUUUAGUAUUUAAAAAGUAGCGGUAUUUGAGAAUUUCAUUUGAUUACGUUUGUUUGAUAAUACACAACUGCUCUAAAACUGACAACUUCGCUAUGAUAAAAACAAAACAGCUUGGAGGAAAUAAAACGCCAAUAAUAUUUGCAAACUACAUAAAAGCACUUAGUGGGAAAAAUGCUAUUUCACUAACAGUAAGGAAUGACAGGUUAGUUAAAAAUAGAUAAAAGCUCAUAAAACAAAAGGGAACAAAAGUCAUAUAUAUCUAUUAAUUACUAGGUAGCUAGCCUGACUGUGCUGCUGCUAGCAAAAGUGCAGCUGCAUCAUUACUGGAAAAAUGGGACAGGCUAUGUACACAAAUAGGGCUGGAGUUCAAGCAUGCCUGCCCAAAUCCUCUCUGCUACUCCAUUUAGUGCAUUCUUUCUUAUCAUUCAAAGGGCUGCAUUGAAAUGUGCUGAGCUUCACUGUGCUCUGGAUCAGGGUUAAUGCACGUCUGAAUCCUCUGAGCUGGAGAGCUACUACUUAAAGCCAGUUUUGAGCAUUAGCAGAUUAUUUAAAAAUACCUUUGGAUGAAGAUGUAACAGCUCAGAUGGUGUGCAAUAAAAAACAAUGUACAUCUAGAAAGCUGCUGAGAGCUCAAUGGUUGAACUCAUAGAACGUUUCCUUCACUUGGACUCCAUCAGCAAGCAAGCUCCUACCAGUUCAUCUCUUGCCUUCAUUUACAAAUGCAGAGGAUUUAGCUCUCAGUCUCACUUUGGAGUCUCCAUUAGGACAUCUCCCCAAGUUAUGCUUAAAUCUGGUUCUCAUUUGUUCUUCUCCUGAAAUUAUUCAGGCUACUGUCACUACAUGAUUUGUCUUCAUGACUUCCAAAGGAUGAGUGCUGAGAUGGGAUUUGGACAGAAGGAUAAUACUGAGAGGUGAAACCAGGAAGACCUACACAUUUCUCAAAGGGCCACAAUCAGAAUUCCUUAUUUCCAGAAACUGGCUUUACAUUAUUUCUUAACAGGAGAUAAAGCAAAUUCUCUUAGAAGACCAAAACUCUUCUUUUCCCCCCUGCAAAACUGCAAUCUUCCAAAAAUGCAACAACUCUUGAAAUUCUUCAGCCCAAUUCACAGAGAAAACUCAGCCUGCCCAAGACCACAACUUUUUGCCUUGCUUGCACUUUGCUCCUCUGGGCUUGAUUGCUAUGCUAAUUAAACAAGACAUUGGUCAGGUUUUAACAUAGAUAUUCUUUUUUUAUUUUGGUUUCAGCUUCUUGAAAGGUGUCCAAGAAUACCAGGCAAGGAAAUGAAAUCUGCAUCCCAAGGAAACAAUCCCUUUCCAAAAUUGUUAAUCUUUCCUUAUGACAUGUUUUGGAAUACGAAUGUAUCCAGAGGGGGUUUAUUCAGCAAUAUGCUGUGCUCAUCCCCACCCAGUGACACUUGGAACACAAGCAGAAACACGUAUGUAUUACAAGGAGCGAUGUUCUACAUUGUUAUUAGAGAACCGGGCUUCCUUCAGCAUGCAACAUUAUCAUAACAAACCCAUGACUACACACUUUAACUGUCACUACAUUGCCUUCCAUAUAUGCUGGGAUCAGCAGAAUUAGAAGCCAGGUCUGGUUGCUACAUAUCACUUCUGAUAAAUUUCUGCAUUACAGCAACUGAAGGCGACUACAGAGCUUUGGCUGUGCCAGAUUCAAUCCAUUCAUAGGUCUGUUCCCCCAGCACGUUUCGUGAAGCUAUUUAGGGGUCAUAUGGAAAUGAAUGCAUGAAGAAGUGAAGAAAAAAGACAUAAUAUUAAACUCUGUAAGUGACUUUUAAGUGAAGACUUUUGCAAAAAGAAAAGACGUAGCAGGUAAGAAAUACAGAGGGGUAUUCUAUGCAUCAUACGGUAUGCAAUGAGCAAUGCUGAAUUUACCAAAAGCUACCAGCAGUUUUGGUUAUUCAGGUGAAGACAACUUAUGCCAAAAAUCUCAGGCAUCUUAAUGUCUCUUGAGACAAAGAUAAAAAAGCAUUCAUAAUCAGAAGUCAGCUCUUAAAACAUACAAUUGGUUCUUAUUUUGAGAAAAGUAGUAACAAGACUUUUUUUAUUUCUUUUUAAUCAAAACAUUGCUCAGAAGCCACAAGUCUCAGAUCAAGAACCAAAUGCGGAAUGCUAAGCGCUCACUAAGAGCUGGCUUGGGCAGCAUGAGUACUACACUAAUUUCUCUUUCAUUCCCUCAGCCCAAAAGCAAAACACAUUUUGCAGCAGCAUCUCAGCUGUUUGCUGAUGACUGAAUCCCAGGCAGGUCAAGAGAAACUUCUUGAACUUCCAAUUUCCAAGAAAGCCAACGAUCCAAGUGAAGUAAGAAGAAAGAAGACAUGCCGUGAAAGACAAAAAGCCUUCUUCAAACACAGCCCUUAAAUAACAGGAUGUGCAUGAAAUCCAAACUUCCUAAUGAAAUAAUUCCAAACCCUUUUGCAAGAAAGAACAGUAUUUUGAUGAAUGGUAUUUGUGACCUUAACGAUAAGCAUUAAUCUGUGCCACUUCAAAACCUCAGAAAAAAGUAGCUGGUAAGUGAGCACCUUGCUAACGAAAACCAGAGGAUGCAUCAUCCUAAUAAUCCAUGAGGAUAACCUGAGGGUAUUUUUUAACAUGACAGAGGCUGUCUCCUUGAGAAGAAAAGGUUAAAGACAACAGAGAGGCGACAGUGACAUCCCAACUACACACCUUAGUGAUAGCACAGCAUGCGCUUCCAUCAAACUACAUGUGGGUUUCUAAAAUACUCUUUCACAAAUCAAGUAAUUUAAGUCCAAAUGAAGUUAAAAACAAACUAAAAAUUUGCAAAUGCUCUGCGUUCACAAAAACAUACCUUGGAGGUUUCACAAAACAGAAUAUUCCCCAAACGGCGCAAUUAUUCUAAUGAAUAUGCCUAUAGAAUAAGUGGCUGCUCAGUAGGAGCAACUAGUGAAGCAUAUUAUGGUGAAAAAGGUAUUUUGCAGGUAUGGCUGUAACUUCAUGAUACCAGCUAGAAAAGAUUCUGCAGGUCUACAGAAGGGCUGUAACGGUGCUCUGCCAAGUUGCUGUCCAGGC
Molecule: long non-coding RNA, 6196 nt
Organism: Gallus gallus (chicken)
Lineage: Eukaryota; Metazoa; Chordata; Aves; Galliformes; Phasianidae
Source: Ensembl